This 998-nucleotide ribosomal RNA is filed under the name uncultured beta proteobacterium. Its description in RNAcentral is "bacterial SSU rRNA". It matches the Rfam family "Bacterial small subunit ribosomal RNA", at positions 8 to 1020 of the family's 1533-position model. Lineage: Bacteria; Pseudomonadati; Pseudomonadota; Betaproteobacteria. The record is from RNAcentral.
AGAGUUUGAUCCUGGCUCAGAUUGAACGCUGGCGGCACGCUUUACACAUGCAAGUCGAGCGGCAGCAUGGGACUUCGGUCCCGAUGGCGAGCGGCGAACGGGUGAGUAAUGCGCGGGAAUGUGCCCAGUAGUGGGGGAUAACCCUGGGAAACCAGGGCUAAUACCGCAUGUUUUCUUCGGAACAAAGCGGGGGAUCUUCGGACCUCGCGCUAUUGGAUCAGCCCGCGUCCGAUUAGCUUGUUGGUGGGGUAACUGCCUACCAAGGCUACGAUCGGUAGCUGGUCUGAGAGGAUGAUCAGCCACACCGGGACUGAGACACGGCCCGGACUCCUACGGGAGGCAGCAGUGGGGAAUAUUGGACAAUGGGGGAAACCCUGAUCCAGCGAUGCCGCGUGGGUGAAGAAGGUAUUCGUAUCGUAAAGCCCUUUCGCAGGAGAAGAAAAACGUGCAAUAACAUUGCACGUCCAUGACGGUAUCCUGAGAAGAAGCACCGGCUAACUUCGUGCCAGCAGCCGCGGUAAUACGGGGGGUGCUAGCGUUAAUCGGAAUUACUGGGCCGUAAGCGUGGCGCAGGCGGCAACGCAAGUCAGAUGUGAAGCCCGGGCUUACCGGAAUGCGUUGGAACUGUGUGGCUAGAGUUCCGGCAGAGGAAGGUGGAAUCCGCGUGUAGCGGUGAAUGCGUAGAUGCGGAGACAUAUGGCGAAGGCAUCUUCUGGCCGAUACUGACGCUGAGUCACGAAAGCGUGGGGAGCAAACAGGAUUAGAUACCUGGUAGUCCACGCCCUAAACGAUGCCUGCUAGCUGUCGGGGUUCGCCCUCGGUAGCGAAGCUAACGCGUUAAGCAGGCCGCCUGGGGAAUACGGUCGCAAGAUUAAAACUCAAAGGAAUUGACGGGGACCCGCACAAGCGGUGGAUGAUGUGGUUUAAUUCGAUGCAACGCGAAAAACCUUACCCGCUCUUGACAUGUCCGGAAUCCCGCAGAGAUGCGGGAGUGCCUU